GCUCGCGUAGCUCAGUUGGAUAGAGCAACUGCCUUCUAAGCAGUGGGUCGUGGGUUCGAUUCCCGCCGUGAGUA
This 74-nucleotide transfer RNA is filed under the name Fibrobacter sp. Its description in RNAcentral is "tRNA-Arg". It matches the Rfam family "tRNA". From Rfam's summary of the family: Transfer RNA (tRNA) molecules are approximately 80 nucleotides in length. Their secondary structure includes four short double-helical elements and three loops (D, anti-codon, and T loops). RNAcentral also lists the same sequence under 4 other names. Lineage: Bacteria; Pseudomonadati; Fibrobacterota; Fibrobacteria; Fibrobacterales; Fibrobacteraceae. The record is from RNAcentral.